UACGUAGGGCGCAAGCGUUGUCCGGAAUUAUUGGGCGUAAAGGGCUCGUAGGCGGUUUGUCGCGUCGGGAGUGAAAACUCAGGGCUCAACCCUGAGCGUGCUUCCGAUACGGGCUGACUAGAGGUAUGCAGGGGAGAACGGAAUUCCUGGUGUAGCGGUGGAAUGCGCAGAUAUCAGGAGGAACACCGGUGGCGAAGGCGGUUCUCUGGGCAUUACCUGACGCUGAGGAGCGAAAGCAUGGGGAGCGAACAGG
RNAcentral lists this ribosomal RNA (253 nucleotides) under uncultured bacterium. RNAcentral describes it as "partial 16S ribosomal RNA". It matches the Rfam family "Bacterial small subunit ribosomal RNA", at positions 524 to 776 of the family's 1533-position model. The record is from RNAcentral.